Molecule: non-coding RNA, 992 nt
Organism: Arachis ipaensis
Lineage: Eukaryota; Viridiplantae; Streptophyta; Magnoliopsida; Fabales; Fabaceae
Source: RefSeq, a predicted model, not a curated record
CAAAAAGGGAAUAACACUUAGUGCAUGCUGGUCUCCCUCCUCUCUUUUGUUACCUUUAUUCAUUCUUUCAUUCAAAGAUAACAAGAAGAGAAAACCCUAGCUAGCCUCCACCGCCGCCGAACGGAGUGACCGAUUGCCGCCGUCUGUGGCUGUCCGAAGAGUUUCUCUUUGUACUGUCGGUAUUUUUCCAAGUCAGAUCCCCUAUUUGAUGUCUUCUUCAUCACUCGGCGGCCAUCCUCCGUCGGAUUCUUCCUGCUGCUUGCGGUCGUCUUGUCGCCGUCGUCUCGGCGUCAUUAUCUCGAAGAUUAUAGAGAAAAAAAACCAAUAACUUGAAACACUUGCACACAAACAUGCCCAAUCCUAACAACAGCUUCCCGAUGGAUCCUUUCUUGGGUCCUUUCCCUGUUCUCAGAACCUUGGUUGUAACCAUGAGAAAAAAUGGAUAGACAAUAUGAUUUGUUAGAGAUGAUUGCACCGCCAAAAGAGAGCUGGAAGAUUCAUGUCAGAGUAAUCAGACUCUGGUCUUUACCAAAAUUCAAAGACCCCAAAUCCAGUAGCUCUAUUGAAAUGGUAUUGAUGGAUGAGUAGGGAACAACUAUGCAUGCUUCUGUAGGUGAGGAUCUGAUAACUGUGUUCGAGUCAUUGAUAUCGGAAGGAACUGUGUAUGUUUUUACAUACUUUGGAGUUAACAACAACUGUGGGUUGUAUCGCACAACAUCGCAUCAAUUUUGGUUGUUUUUUUAAGAUAGAACUACUGUCUUACCCUCUUUCUGUGAUGCAAUACCGUUAUAUGGUAUUAAGUUGGUCCCUUUUAGGGAAAUUAUGGGAUACUCUCCUCAUCAUCCUUUUUUGGUUGGUAAGUGUAUAAUUUAUGGCAAGUACACAAGUUGAUUUUUUUUUUUAAUUAUGACAAAAUAUCACUAAAAGGUGUGAUUUGGGCACAUUUUUCUGUUUGAUAUUUAUUUAAGACGUUGCUGGAGUUAUGGCCGGCG